Molecule: long non-coding RNA, 614 nt
Filed under: Marmota monax (woodchuck)
Lineage: Eukaryota; Metazoa; Chordata; Mammalia; Rodentia; Sciuridae
Source: RNAcentral
UAUACUUACAUUUAACAUAAUAUUUUGAGUCUUCAUGUACUUCCUAUUCAAGGUUAUAAGCUACUCCACUCCUUCCGUGCCCGUAUUUAACUCUCUUACUGCUUUUUAAGGAGGCUGGGAGGACAGGGAUAGAAUUCACUCAGCUGCCUGAGUCAAAGAAUGUCUUGGCUCCUCUUGACGAUGUCUUUUUCCUGCCUGAAUGGAGAAGAUAAGAUAGAAUGGACUGCACUAUUGUCUGCUUUUUCAAUGCCAUUUGUCCUCGGGUCUUAAAGUUUCAUUUUAAUAGCAGAAGUGUUUUUUUCCUUUGUGGACCAAAAGUUUGAGAUGCAGAGAAGAACAGAUCUGGAAGUUUCACAUGCCUUAUGCUCUGCUUCCUUCAGGAGUUUUGGAAGGUGGGCAUUGGAAGAUAGAGAGUGAGAGAGCAUUGGGAAGAUGAGGAGGGAUCCCCUCACUGAGAGUCUGUUUACAUACAUGGUGGCUCAGACUGAGAUCUGCAUAGAGACAGGCGCGAAAUAGGACUGUGUUUUGGAAACUGUGGUAGGAAGGAGGCAAUGAGUCAGGGCUUACGAUCCCCAGAAAAAGAUAUUGCUCACUGGGGAGGCUUCGGGGCAAAG